AUUGAACGCUGGCGGCAGGCUUAACACAUGCAAGUCGAGCGGGGUGAUGGUGCUUGCACUAUCACUUAGCGGCGGACGGGUGAGUAAUGCUUAGGAAUCUGCCUAUUAGUGGGGGACAACAUCUCGAAAGGGAUGCUAAUACCGCAUACGUCCUACGGGAGAAAGCAGGGGAUCACUUGUGACCUUGCGCUAAUAGAUGAGCCUAAGUCGGAUGAGCUAGUUGGUGGGGUAAAGGCCUACCAAGGCGACGAUCUGUAGCGGGUCUGAGAGGAUGAUCCGCCACACUGGGACUGAGACACGGCCCAGACUCCUACGGGAGGCAGCAGUGGGGAAUAUUGGACAAUGGGGGGAACCCUGAUCCAGCCAUGCCGCGUGUGUGAAGAAGGCCUUAUGGUUGUAAGGCACUUUAAGCGAGGAGGAGGCUCUUUUGGUUAAUACCCAAGAUGAGUGGACGUUACUCGCAGAAUAAGCACCGGCUAACUCUGUGCCAGCAGCCGCGGUAA
This 503-nucleotide ribosomal RNA is filed under the name uncultured bacterium. RNAcentral's name for it is "partial 16S ribosomal RNA". It matches the Rfam family "Bacterial small subunit ribosomal RNA", at positions 30 to 523 of the family's 1533-position model. The record is from RNAcentral.